Long non-coding RNA from Vidua chalybeata, 343 nucleotides. RefSeq lists it as uncharacterized. The record is from RefSeq and is a predicted model, not a curated record. The transcript has 2 exons. Lineage: Eukaryota; Metazoa; Chordata; Aves; Passeriformes; Viduidae.
GGUCGUCUUCAGGUUCGCGGCCAGCCCGCAGAGGCAGCACGCCACGGAAACGACGGCGAGGGGGAACGUAAAUGUCCUGCGCUGUAGAGAGCACCUGGAGAAGGCUCCUUGGUCAUCCCACCGCUUCUUUUCUUGGACCUGGCAGUGUCAGGUUUGCAGCUGGACUCGAAGGAUGCGUCCAACCUAAAUGAUUCUAAGAUUCAGUGAUUCCCCCAGACCACUGUGUAGAGUUCCCCCUAUGCCUAUCACAUUUUCUCUGUCCUUUGUUUCUUCCUAAGGCAGCUUGAGUCUAUAUAUAUCAUGAUCAGUGGACUCUCUGCAAAUAAAAGUUUAUUUGUGUAAA